AGAGGUCUCAAGCRUURUUYGGAUUCAUUGGGCGUAAAGGGCGCGUAGGCGGUGGGGUAAGUCUGGUGUGAAAUCUCGGAGCUCAACUUCGAAAUUGCACUGGAUACUGCUCUGCUAGAGGGCUGGAGAGGAGAUCGGAAUUCACGGUGUAGCAGUGAAAUGCGUAGAUAUCGUGAGGAAGACCAGUGGCGAAGGCGGAUCUCUGGACAGCUCCUGACGCUGAGGCGCGAAGGCUAGGGGAGCAAACGGGAUUAGAUACCCCGGUAGUCCUAGCAGUAAACGGUGCACGUUUGGUGUGCGCGGAUUCGACCCCGUGCGUGCCGGAGCUAACGCGUUAAACGUGCCGCCUGAGGAGUACGGUCGCAAGACUG
This 371-nucleotide ribosomal RNA is filed under the name uncultured bacterium. RNAcentral describes it as "bacterial SSU rRNA". It matches the Rfam family "Bacterial small subunit ribosomal RNA", at positions 527 to 896 of the family's 1533-position model. The record is from RNAcentral.